GGGCCGCAGUCUCUUCGACUCAGUCUGCGAGUCUCAGGGGGAAAAGGAGCUCCAGAGGUGCGCCCCCAAUUCCAGCGCUCUUCUCCUCGCACCGUAAUUGCGGGAGGAGAGAAAAUAGGAGUGAGGAAAGGUGCAUUUUCCGUCUCACCUCAGGCCUCCGCUAAGGAAACCGUGUAGUCCUGACCAGUGGGCUCAAGGCCCUACUGGAAACUGGUUCUGAUUGCAACUGUCUCAGCUUAUGAGGAAACAAGAACAAGUAACGAGCACACUUUUCAACUGCGCUGAGGAUCCAAAAAUGAAUAAAACACGGUCCCUGCCCUCACAAGACUCCAAGUACGGGGUGCGUCACACUCAUGAGCAGCUAAGCACAGACUGCGGAAAAGGUAAAACUGGCUUUCAAAUCUGCUAAUUGGUGAAAAGAGAUCAGCACCCCUCUCAAGUUACAGAGGCAGAACUUCAGCUGGUCCUUAUUAAACGAAAGAUCUUCAGUGAAGGUUGAAAGCCCUUCAGAUCAAUCGCAUCACUUUGAGCUCCUCUAAUCUCCCUAGUUCAAUCAUCUGUGCUCACGGCUCACAGGUGUGCAGACAGCUACGUCCAGGACUAACCCAGGACAAAAAUAGUUACCACCCAGUUGAAAUAUCCUUUCUACGGAAGGACCAGACCCAGUGAUCCUACAAGGGGGAGUGUGAGGAUCUGGCUGCUCAGGCCUACAAGGCAAGUUGUGCAGGAUGAAUCUGGAAACCUUGACACACAAGAAAGCAGGGACACCAAAGACUCUGAAAGCAGCACGCUGAAGACUUCCAGCAGCCAGAAACGGGACAAUUUGAGUUUUGAUAAUAAUGGCAAUGGUUAAAACAUCAAAAACAUAAAAAAUUCAUGAAUUCAUAGACAGACUGAAGGAAAUCCACAAAAACCUCAUUGGUUCUCUUUGGAGAAUACGGGGAAACAAACUCAUUAUUCUAAAAAAUGAUAAAAGGAACAUUUAUUCUGCCUUUUCAGUAUAAACUAGACCUCAGUGUAACCACGUAGUUGAUGAAGGAAAGUUUCUCCUUAUAGAAGUAUUUAUUGUAUCUAAGAAUAAAUAGAAUUAUUGACUGAUAAA
This is a non-coding RNA of Vicugna pacos (alpaca), 1102 nucleotides long. Lineage: Eukaryota; Metazoa; Chordata; Mammalia; Artiodactyla; Camelidae. The record is from RefSeq and is a predicted model, not a curated record.